CCGGUUAAAUCUCAUCUGCCUUCAAUUUGGAGCAAGCGCCAGUAUCAAAGUAGUUCAAGACAUUUUAAGCGAACAAUCUUUUUCCAUUUAAACCAUCAAAUGGAUGCUAUAACUGCUGCAAAGGAAGCAGGAAAACAUUGAAGAAGGUGCACAUAUCACAUCCUGUAAUAUCAAGUAGACUAUAAAGCCUGUAAUCAUAAGAUUGAAUAGACUAUAAAGUCUUAAGCUAGUUACUAAAAUCUUAACAAUAUUAAAGGAAAACAUUAAAAUUAAAAGAUGCAAAUAUAGUAAGGAUCUCAAUAAGCCUUUUAUAAUUCAGUUUAGGAAACAACAACCAGUAAUUAGUUAUUGGUAAUUUCAUUUAAUACAACAACCAGUAAUUAGAGAGAGAGUUUCAUGGGAUCAAAAACUUUUCAUGGGAUCAAAAACUGAGUUUCUCAGCAAGUGCACUUCGUUAUAACCAAAUACAAUGAGAAUAACGCAUCUAUUUGUCUUUGAUUUGAAAGUAAUGCUGCGAAUACAAGGCAUCCAUGGUAUCUCCAGGAACAUUUUAGUAUAUGGGUUAGAGGCCUAAAACAAAUUGACAAAACUAAAUACUUUAUGUAGCAUGCAUGAUUUUCCACACAUACUAUGCUCAUCUUUUUUAAUAAUAUGUGGAGAUGAUCUAAUCAAGGAAAUAAGUGUAUAAGUUGACCUAAGUUUUGAAAUCCGUUAUCAAAAAAUGUAUUAGCAAUGAUGCACUGAAAAGAUAUCCUCAAACUCCAAUUCCUAUCCAAAAGCUUUCUAAGCAAUCCUAUAAAUCAAGACCCAUGAAUUACAAUUGAUUUGCAAGUGUACUAGGAUCCAUACUAUCAUGAGUAGAGCAAUAUUAAACACAUCUCACCAGCACAUCAGACCAUCACACAAUCUAAGAUUUUAAAUAUAAGAUCAUUCAGCUGUAAGAGGUGGAUUUCCAUAUACGUUGGCAUAAAAGCCGAAUAAAUUACAUAUAAGCAUUAAACAUUAUUUCUUUAGUUUGUCAACUGUCCUAAUUGAUCAACGCACUAAUUAGCAACGAAGUGAAUGCAGAUCUGGCAUUGGAAGAUGCAAACUAAACAACAAGGCUAUGGCCAGUCAUAGUUAAUUGACUGUUAUGCUCAUCAAGAGGCCUAACCUUUGCAUUUGGUUUGAGAAACAACCUCAUGCAGCAAACUAUUAUGCGCAGACAACGGGCGUUACUGCAGCACCAUCCCAAAACAAAAAUGCAUCUUCUCUACCUCACUCAGUCACUCAAUGUCUGCAUCUGCAGUGUCUUCUGAGCUUCACCUACUGAUCUCCACGCAUUAUCUGCCCACUGGUUGAGACAAAGGAAAGACCUCAUAAGACUGACACUAAUAUUUUCUUCAAAUAAAGUGGAGCUUAAUUCUUAGUGAGUGGAAGUGAAUAUACCUAAAAAAAUAGCUCUUUCACAAUUAACCAAGAAUACUAGGUAUUACUCAAUACGCAUCAUUCAUACAAUUUAUUUUUUUUCCUUCCCCCCGCAUGUAAUAUCUGUCAGCCCUAGGAGAACUAGUUGAUGGAAAAAAAUAUCAUGUUGCUGAUUAGGAAAGAGGAAGCUACUUCUUAAGCAUUUCUUUUGCUUUAAAAUUGAGACUUAAUCAGACAUGGUAAUCACAAAAACAGACCCCACAGCAUGUUAAAAUAUGGCAAUGCAUGGCUGCAAACAUAGAAUGCAAUUUUAGAAAUUUGCAUCCAAAAGAUGCUGAAGGGGG
This 1751-nucleotide long non-coding RNA is filed under the name Citrus maxima (pomelo). Its description in RNAcentral is "long non-coding RNA (CMAX_LNC003045)". The record is from RNAcentral. Lineage: Eukaryota; Viridiplantae; Streptophyta; Magnoliopsida; Sapindales; Rutaceae.